RNAcentral lists this long non-coding RNA (1758 nucleotides) under Capsicum annuum. Its description in RNAcentral is "long non-coding RNA (CANN_LNC004089)". Lineage: Eukaryota; Viridiplantae; Streptophyta; Magnoliopsida; Solanales; Solanaceae. The record is from RNAcentral.
GAUCAUCAGCAACGCUAGUUUGAAUUACAAGAACAUAAAAGUGACUAGUGCAUGUCCUUAGGCUUCAAAUUUCUGAAAAAAGAACGAUCAAAAUUAAUGAGAUUGUUAUAACAAAAAAAAGAAACAACAACUAACCCUCAAAAGCAAAAUUAAUAGGCUAUAAUCUAAGAUGUUCGAUUCAGUAAUACUUAGCCCGUAUAGAAGUUACAUCUGCCUAUUCCAAAAAAAAAGCCCAAAAAAUCAAGAGAAGAAAAUUAAAGAAUUUCAAAAUUGGCAUCAUGAUGAUCUGUUGAUGAAGAGAAGAAGAGCUUGCAAGGUAUGAAUUUGCAGCCUUAAAUGCAUGAUGUAUUUAGCAGUUUGGAGGAGCAACUGAUGAGAAGGCAAUUGGCUGGCGCCUGGGACUAGCCUCUGCAGCUUCACCACUUUGUCUGGUUGGUGUUGAAGAUCAAUGUCAUCAUUGAAAACAUAGCCCAUUCUUGAUCUCCUCUUCUUCCCCUUUCUCCUUGUGGUUUGUGUUGUUUUCAUGAGUACCUUUUCUAGACCUAAUUUUUUUUGGGAACCCAUCUUGAUUUAGAGCAAUUGCUUUUGAUUCAUGCAAAAUCAAAGAAUAACAGCUAUAUAGACACAAAAGUACUACUACUAUAAUGCAGCAGAGCAGCUGGCACAAUAUGUGUCAUACAUGGUGCAUGUAAUAAACUCUUGCAUGUGAUGUCUUUGGUGUGACACUUAGGUUGACUCAUGACAUAUGCCUGGCCUACUUUAACAGCAACGUCUUUUCAUUUUUACUCUAAAUAAAUCUCCUUUUAUAUCAUCAAAGUUAAGUUCAUCAAUGACUUCAAAACUCUUUACCGUUAGUUUCAAUUUAUUUGUUUUACUUUUUUAUAAUAAUCUAUUUAAAAAUAAAAAUAAAUUCUUUUAUCUCAAUAACUCUUUAUUUUUACCUUUUCACACAACAUAUUUAAAACAAUAUAAAGUUCUACAUGUCUUUAAUUUAACACUACAUUAUUCAAAAAUCUUCUUUACUUUUCAAAUUUUUUUAUACAAAUAAAUUGAAACAGACGGAGUAUCAUGAUCAUAUGAAAAGUAAAGUAAUUAGUCAUAUUCAUGCAUAUACCAUCACCAUAUAAAUUAUAAUUCUGCAUUAUCUUAUACCCUGUUCAAUGUUGAAAUAAAAGAAGAGUAGUUUGAACUUUAUGGGCAAAGUACUUGUCUAGUCAUAUUAAUACUACUAUGGCCAACUAAGACUUAUCAUCAACCUCUAUCUUCAUGUAGAAGAAGUGGAUGAUGAAUAGUCCACACUCCACAUCUUUAGAUAAGAAAAUGUUUUUGAUGUCAUGUGAGGAACAGAUAAUGUGUGGAAGCAAAAGAUGUGGGCUUGUGCAGAUCAAAGUGUUGGGUGGUGGCCAAGUGGCCUUGUGCGCUACGGGAUUUUGCUGGCGGUGACGCGGCACAUGCCUUGACAGCUCUCUCAAUUGCUAAGCAACUCAUGGACAUCACCACAUUUUGAUUUAUUCUCACCAUCUAAGAACUACAAUUAACUACUUAAAUAAAUAAAUAGUAAGAGAUUUUUUUUACCUCUGAUAGUUAAGUUUCUGAUAAAAGGUUUACACGACAUUUUGAAGUUAAAAUUGGAAAAGAAAGUUCUGCGAGAGCUGACAUUGUGAAAAUUGAGAAAUUAUUUACUUGAGAGUUAAGAUUUUGGAAAGAAGAUGAAGUUCUCAUGUUUAGACUCUUGAAGAAGAAGAAAAUGAAUUUAAU